RNAcentral lists this ribosomal RNA (254 nucleotides) under uncultured bacterium. RNAcentral's name for it is "partial 16S ribosomal RNA". It matches the Rfam family "Bacterial small subunit ribosomal RNA", at positions 524 to 776 of the family's 1533-position model. The record is from RNAcentral.
UACGAAGGGGGCUAGCGUUGUUCGGAAUUACUGGGCGUAAAGCGUAUGUAGGCGGAUCGUUAAGUCGGGGGUGAAAUCCCGAGGCUCAACCUCGGAACUGCCUUCGAUACUGGCGAUCUUCGAGUCCGGGAGAGGUGAGUGGAACUCCGAGUGUAGAGGUGAAAUUCGUAGAUAUUCGGAAGAGCACCAGUGGCGAAGGCGGCUCACUGGCCCGGUACUGACGCUGAAAUACGAAAGCGUGGGGAGCAAACAGG